CAGCAAAUUUGUAUCUGGUCUAGGACAGGUACCAUCAACAAAACCAAUUUUGUUUUUAACGGACAAGGCAACUAUCAUCUUCCUCUUCCAACCCCCAUAAGCACUACCCGAAAAGGGAAUAGGAACAAGGGAAACACCAGGAACAUCAGAAGAGUAAACAAAGAGAGGGCUUGUAGGGUCAAUAGGUGAGGGAUAAAUAGGGUUCAUAUUUGUCAUCAGAAACAGAACAACAAUGAUGAGAAGAAAUUGAUUCAAUAUCUUUGAACUACAAGAUACAAUAGAUUUUCCAGCAAAAACACAUGCAAGCUCUUAAUGAGAGUGAGAAUAGGGUUACCCGACUUCUACGC
RNAcentral lists this long non-coding RNA (347 nucleotides) under Nicotiana benthamiana. RNAcentral describes it as "long non-coding RNA (NBEN_LNC014458)". The record is from RNAcentral. Lineage: Eukaryota; Viridiplantae; Streptophyta; Magnoliopsida; Solanales; Solanaceae.